GAUGAACGCUGGCGGCGUGCCUAAUACAUGCAAGUCGAGCGAACAGACGAGGAGCUUGCUCCUCUGACGUUAGCGGCGGACGGGUGAGUAACACGUGGAUAACCUACCUAUAAGACUGGGAUAACUUCGGGAAACCGGAGCUAAUACCGGAUAAUAUAUUGAACCGCAUGGUUCAAUAGUGAAAGACGGUUUUGCUGUCACUUAUAGAUGGAUCCGCGCCGCAUUAGCUAGUUGGUAAGGUAACGGCUUACCAAGGCAACGAUGCGUAGCCGACCUGAGAGGGUAAUCGGCCACACUGGAACUGAGACACGGUCCAGACUCCUACGGGAGGCAGCAGUAGGGACUCUUCCGCAAUGGGCGAAAGCCUGACGGAGCAACGCCGCGUGAGUGAUGAAGGUCUUCGGCUCGUAAAACUCUGUUAUUAGGGAAGAACAAAUGUGUAAGUAACUAUGCACGUCUUGACGGUACCUAAUCAGAAAGCCACGGCUAACUACGUG
Molecule: ribosomal RNA, 497 nt
Filed under: uncultured bacterium
Lineage: Bacteria
Description: partial 16S ribosomal RNA
Rfam family: Bacterial small subunit ribosomal RNA
Source: RNAcentral